RNAcentral lists this ribosomal RNA (347 nucleotides) under uncultured fungus. Its description in RNAcentral is "SSU rRNA". It matches the Rfam family "Eukaryotic small subunit ribosomal RNA", at positions 1326 to 1695 of the family's 1831-position model. The record is from RNAcentral. Lineage: Eukaryota; Fungi.
CGAUAACGAACGAGACCUUAACCUGCUAAAUAGCCAGGCCCGCUUUGGCGGGUCGCCGGCUUCUUAGAGGGACUAUCGGCUCAAGCCGAUGGAAGUUUGAGGCAAUAACAGGUCUGUGAUGCCCUUACAUGUUCUGGGCCGCACGCGCGCUACACUGACAGAGCCAACGAGUUCAUUUCCUUGUCCGAAAGGUCUGGGUAAUCUUGUUAAACUCUGUCGUGCUGGGGAUAGAGCAUUGCAAUUAUUGCUCUUCAACGAGGAAUCCCUAGUAAGCGCAAGUCAUCAGCUUGCGUUGAUUACGUCCCUGCCCUUUGUACACACCGCCCGUCGCUACUACCGAUUGAAUG